AACGAACGCUGGCGGCAUGCCUAACACAUGCAAGUCGAACGAGACCUUCGGGUCUAGUGGCGCACGGGUGCGUAACGCGUGGGAACCUGCCCUUAGGUUCGGAAUAACUCCCCGAAAGGGGUGCUAAUACCGGAUAAUGUCUUCGGACCAAAGAUUUAUCGCCUUUGGAUGGGCCCGCGUUGGAUUAGCUAGUUGGUAGGGUAAAAGCCUACCAAGGCGACGAUCCAUAGCUGGUCUGAGAGGAUGAUCAGCCACACUGGGACUGAGACACGGCCCAGACUCCUACGGGAGGCAGCAGUGGGGAAUAUUGGACAAUGGGCGAAAGCCUGAUCCAGCAAGGCCGCGUGAGUGAUGAAGGCCUUAGGGUUGUAAAGCUCUUUACCCGGGAUGAUAAUGACAGUACCGGGAGAAUAAGCUCCGGCUAACUCCGUG
RNAcentral lists this ribosomal RNA (432 nucleotides) under uncultured bacterium. Its description in RNAcentral is "partial 16S ribosomal RNA". It matches the Rfam family "Bacterial small subunit ribosomal RNA", at positions 29 to 507 of the family's 1533-position model. The record is from RNAcentral.